RNAcentral lists this RNase P RNA (390 nucleotides) under Mucilaginibacter agri. RNAcentral describes it as "Bacterial RNase P class A". It matches the Rfam family "Bacterial RNase P class A". From Rfam's summary of the family: Ribonuclease P (RNase P) is a ubiquitous endoribonuclease, found in archaea, bacteria and eukarya as well as chloroplasts and mitochondria. Its best characterised activity is the generation of mature 5'-ends of tRNAs by cleaving the 5'-leader elements of precursor-tRNAs. Cellular RNase Ps are ribonucleoproteins. The record is from Rfam by way of RNAcentral. Lineage: Bacteria; Pseudomonadati; Bacteroidota; Sphingobacteriia; Sphingobacteriales; Sphingobacteriaceae.
AUGGCAAAACGUUCUAUCGCUGUACCGAUGAGAGUCGGAACGGAGGAAAGUCCGGGCAACACAGAGCAUCCUGCUUCCUAACGGGAAGGCGCCGUACCAGCCGGCGACAGCAAGUGCCACAGAAAAAAUACCGCCGCGAUUUAUCGGGGUAAGGGUGAAAACGUGAGGUAAGAGCUCACGGCAUUACCGGGCGACCGGGAUGACGGUAAACCUCAGGAGUUGAAAAACCAAAUAGGUUCUGAAUUUAAAGCUGCUCGCUUUUAUAUGUUGUUCGCAACAUGGUCAGAAUGGGUAGGUUGUUAAAGUUUGGCAGCAAUGUCAAAAUAAGAUUAAUGAUAGAAAUUGCCCUUCGGGGCAACACAGAACCCGGCUUAUAGCUUUGCUGCUGGU